This 73-nucleotide transfer RNA is filed under the name Ruminococcus sp. RNAcentral's name for it is "tRNA-Pro". It matches the Rfam family "tRNA". Rfam says of the family: Transfer RNA (tRNA) molecules are approximately 80 nucleotides in length. Their secondary structure includes four short double-helical elements and three loops (D, anti-codon, and T loops). Further hydrogen bonds mediate the characteristic L-shaped molecular structure. tRNAs have two regions of fundamental functional importance: the anti-codon, which is responsible for specific mRNA codon recognition, and the 3' end, to which the tRNAs corresponding amino acid is attached (by aminoacyl-tRNA synthetases). tRNAs cope with the degeneracy of the genetic code in two manners: having more than one tRNA (with a specific anti-codon) for a particular amino acid; and 'wobble' base-pairing, i.e. permitting non-standard base-pairing at the 3rd anti-codon position. RNAcentral also lists the same sequence under 5 other names. The record is from RNAcentral. Lineage: Bacteria; Bacillati; Bacillota; Clostridia; Eubacteriales; Oscillospiraceae.
CGGGGUGUAGCGCAGUUGGUAGCGCGCCUGCUUUGGGAGCAGGAUGCCGCAGGUUCGAAUCCUGUCACUCCGA